Molecule: ribosomal RNA, 464 nt
Filed under: uncultured bacterium
Lineage: Bacteria
Description: partial 16S ribosomal RNA
Rfam family: Bacterial small subunit ribosomal RNA
Source: RNAcentral
CUACGGGUGGCACCAGUGGGGAAUAUUGGACAAUGGGCGCAAGCCUGAUCCAGCCAUGUCGCGUGUGUGAAGAAGGCCUUCGGGUUGUAAAGCACUUUCAGAGGUGAGGAAGGGUGUGCCGUUAAUACCGGUAUGCUUUGACGUUAGCCUCAGAAGAAGCACCGGCUAACUCUGUGCCAGCAGCCGCGGUAAUACAGAGGGUGCGAGCGUUAAUCGGAAUUACUGGGCGUAAAGCGCGCGUAGGUGGUUUGUUAAGUCGGAUGUGAAAGCCCAGGGCUCAACCUUGGAAUUGCACCCGAUACUGGCAAGCUAGAGUAAGGGAGAGGGGUGGGGAAUUUCCGGUGUAGCGGUGAAAUGCGUAGAUAUAGGAAGGAACAUCAGUGGCGAAGGCGACACCCUGGACCGAUACUGACACUGAGGUGCGAAAGCGUGGGGAGCAAACAGGAUUAGAUACCCCAGUAGUC